CCACAAAAGCGGAGGAAAAGAAACUAACAAGGAUUCCCCUAGUAACUGCGAGUGAAGCGGGAAAAGCUCAAAUUUAAAAUCUGGUGGUCUUUGGCCAUCCGAAUUGUAAUCUAGAGAAGUGUUAUCCGCGCUGGACCGUGUACAAGUCUCCUGGAAUGGAGCGUCAUAGAGGGUGAGAAUCCCGUCUUUGACACGGACUACCAGGGCUUUGUGAUACACUCUCAACGAGUCGAGUUGUUUGGGAAUGCAGCUCAAAAUGGGUGGUAAAUUCCAUCUAAAGCUAAAUAUUGGCGAGAGACCGAUAGCGAACAAGUACCGUGAGGGAAAGAUGAAAAGAACUUUGGAAAGAGAGUUAAACAGUACGUGAAAUUGUUGAAAGGGAAACGCUUGAAGUCAGUCGCGUCUUUCAGAAAUCAACCUUACUUUUGUAUGGUGUACUUUCUGAUAGAUGGGUCAGCAUCAGUUUUGGUUGCUGGAUAAAGGUUAGAGAAAUGUGGCAUCUUCGGGUGUGUUAUAGUCUCUAAUCAUAUACAGUGGCUGGGACUGAGGAACUCAGCACGCCGUAAGGCCGGGGCUUUUGCUCACGUUCGUGCUUAGGAUGCUGGCAAAAUGGCUUUAAUCGACCCGUCUUGAAACACGGCCAAAGGGAGUCA
RNAcentral lists this ribosomal RNA (653 nucleotides) under Pleurotus djamor. Its description in RNAcentral is "LSU rRNA". It matches the Rfam family "Eukaryotic large subunit ribosomal RNA", at positions 42 to 676 of the family's 3401-position model. Lineage: Eukaryota; Fungi; Basidiomycota; Agaricomycetes; Agaricales; Pleurotaceae. The record is from RNAcentral.